This is a non-coding RNA of Danio rerio (zebrafish), 54 nucleotides long. The record is from Rfam. NCBI's taxonomy places the organism in Eukaryota, Metazoa, Chordata, Actinopteri, Cypriniformes, Danionidae.
UCAAUGUAGUAAUGUAAGUCGCUUUGGAUAAAAGCGUCGGCUAAAUGACUAAAU